Molecule: long non-coding RNA, 1647 nt
Filed under: Mytilus galloprovincialis (Mediterranean mussel)
Lineage: Eukaryota; Metazoa; Mollusca; Bivalvia; Mytilida; Mytilidae
Source: RNAcentral
AUCACUGGGGUAAAUGUGAUCUCCGUAACUGCAGUUACGUAUAUCCAAAGAUGGCGGACGAUGUUUCUGGUCAAUAUUUCUUGUCAAUUUUGUAAUAAUAAGUAUUAUUCUUCAAUAUUUCGUGUCUUUUAUAACGUAUUACAAUAUUUGAAACUGAAAUACUAAGUGUUUAAUUCAUAAUUCAACCGCUAAAUGGAGAAAACAGCUAUUUAAAAUAUCGUCAUGAUAUGGUUAACUGAAGUUAAUAAAUUUUUAAUGAUAUACGUAACUGGAAAUAUUGAUAUCCGUAACUGAUUUUAUUUUUGAAUAAUUCAAUCAUGUUUGAAAUGAAAUACAUUUCUCCGGUUAUUAAAAGUGUAGUAAAUGUGAAUCAGAAAUGAUCUUCGAAGUUCGAAGUCUUAAAUUAUUAUGGAAAAAAUUGAUCAGGCUUCCAAUUCUGAAUUUCUAUAUUGUCAGCAGGAUGCAUGCAUAGUGAGGUAAAGGAUUUGAUAGCUUAUUAUAGAUGAAAUAUAAGUAAAAUUGAGAACGGACAGUACUUAAGCAAAUGAAAAAAAAAAAAUCUCAAAAACACCGAACGAAUUGAUAACAACUGUCAUAUUCUUAAUUUGGCAGAAGCAUUUCCUUAAGUAGAAAAUGGUAGAGUAUAAGCUGGUUGUAUAACUAACUAAGCCCCUAACUUGUAUGAUAGUCACAUAGGAUUCCAUUAUAUUUACAAUAAUACAAAGCAAACUGACAUGAUAGGUCAGAAAUCAAAAAUUUGGGAACAAUGUAUCUAAUUCAAUAUAAUUUUAAAAUUCAUCACACUAUUUACAACUAUUUUAACAGAGAAACACAAAACGGCAUAUACGCACGUUAAAGAUAGAGUUCAUAGAACAAAUUUGAAGGCAAGAGUACAAAAUGACCAUAGCAACGUAGUACAAUGGCUGUAUGUAUAAAUACUGAGCCACCCCAAAACAUAAUCAAACAGUACUAUAGAGUUAAGGUUAACAAUAAACAUUUGGACAACACAAAAUAGCACAAAAUCACGUACAUCAGAUGAUAAACAAGUACAUAAACACCAUAUUUAAAGUUCCCCAAGAGUGACUGGGGUUGGAAAAAUGGUCUCCAUUGGUCUACUUCCCCUUAAAUUAUUAAGUGUUGCGUCAGUUUUGCUGUCCGGGAUGCGCAAGUACGCAUUCACGUUUGGUUAGAAUGGGGACAUUAAUUCAGAUGCCACAUGUUGAGAGAAUUCUGUGCUCUUUGUAGCUUGGUUUAUAACCCUUGUAACAAAUCUUUGAGGGGUCCAUAAAUGGCCAGUGGCAAAAGCAGACUCCCGUCCCUAUCCAAUCUGCCAUACCCGUGGUAGUCCAAAUUUCUUCUACCUUCAUCCAGAACGUCCUCUGAUGCAAGACUUACCUACUGUAUCUAUAUUUUUUUCUCUUCCUGAACAUAUAUUAAAAAGAAAAUGUGGUACCAGUGUAAUUGAGACACAAGAGACCAACUGACACAGAAAUUAAUAUUAUUGGUCACCAUACGACAUUUAACAUUGUCAAUGACCAUAUAUACCGCAUAGUAGUAUGCUAUAAAAGGCCCAGAAAGGACAAAUGUAACACAAUUCAAACAAGUCAACUAAUGGCCUAGGCCUUAUUUUGGGGCCAUUUUUUUUUU